This 91-nucleotide transfer RNA is filed under the name Deltaproteobacteria bacterium. Its description in RNAcentral is "tRNA-Ser". It matches the Rfam family "tRNA". Rfam says of the family: Transfer RNA (tRNA) molecules are approximately 80 nucleotides in length. Their secondary structure includes four short double-helical elements and three loops (D, anti-codon, and T loops). The record is from RNAcentral. Lineage: Bacteria; Pseudomonadati; Myxococcota; Myxococcia.
GGAGGGUUGGGAGAGUGGCUGAAUCCGUUCGCUUGGAAAGCGAAUUUACGCCAAAAGCGUAACGCGAGUUCGAAUCUCGCAUCCUCCGCCA